GGAAACAGAUGCUAAUACCGGAUAAAAAGCACUUUCGCAUGAAAAGAAGUUUAAAAAAGGACGGCGUAAGCUGUCGCUAAAGGAUGGACCUGCGAUGCAUUAGCUAGUUGGUAAGGUAACGGCUUACCAAGGCGAUGAUGCAUAGCCGAGUUGAGAGACUGAUCGGCCACAUUGGGACUGAGACACGGCCCAAACUCCUACGGGAGGCAGCAGUAGGGAAUUUUCCACAAUGGACGCAAGUCUGAUGGAGUAACGCCGCGUGAGUGAAGAAGGUUUUCGGAUCGUAAAGCUCUGUUGUUGGUGAAGAAGGAUAGAGGUAGUAACUGGCCUUUAUUUGACGGUAAUCAACCAGAAAGUCACGGCUAACUACGUGCCAGCAGCCGCGGUAAAU
Molecule: ribosomal RNA, 391 nt
Filed under: uncultured Lactobacillus sp.
Lineage: Bacteria; Bacillati; Bacillota; Bacilli; Lactobacillales; Lactobacillaceae
Description: bacterial SSU rRNA
Rfam family: Bacterial small subunit ribosomal RNA
Source: RNAcentral